GACGAACGCUGGCGGCGUGCUUAACACAUGCAAGUCGAACGGAAAGGCCCUGCUUUUGUGGGGUGCUCGAGUGGCGAACGGGUGUGUAACACGUGUGUAACCUGCCCUUGACUUUGGGAUAACUUCAGGAAACUGGGGCUAAUACCGGAUAGGAGCUCCUGCUGCAGGGUGGGGGUUGGAAAGUUUCGGCGGUUGGGGAUGGACUCGCGGCUUAUCAGCUUGUUGGUGGGGUAGUGGCUUACCAAGGCUUUGACGGGUAGCCGGCCUGAGAGGGUGACCGGCCACAUUGGGACUGAGAUACGGCCCAGACUCCUACGGGAGGCAGCAGUGGGGAAUAUUGCACAAUGGGCGGAAGCCUGAUGCAGCAACGCCGCGUGCGGGAUGACGGCCUUCGGGUUGUAAACCGCUUUCGCCUGUGACGAAGCGUGAGUGACGGUAAUGGGUAAAGAAGCACCGGCUAACUACGUG
RNAcentral lists this ribosomal RNA (468 nucleotides) under uncultured bacterium. Its description in RNAcentral is "partial 16S ribosomal RNA". It matches the Rfam family "Bacterial small subunit ribosomal RNA", at positions 28 to 507 of the family's 1533-position model. The record is from RNAcentral.